This 196-nucleotide non-coding RNA is filed under the name Enterovibrio nigricans. The record is from RNAcentral. Lineage: Bacteria; Pseudomonadati; Pseudomonadota; Gammaproteobacteria; Vibrionales; Vibrionaceae.
GCUGACUUCUCUAUAAUCAGCGCGCUUUUUAAUUCCAGCUGGGAAUCCGGUGUGAAUCCGGAACUGGCGCGCAGCGGUAAUGAGAAACGAAGGUGACUAGGCGAAAAGCCAGACACUGUGCCUAGGAAUGGGCAUGGGAAGUUGUCACCGUAGGGGGUCUCUAAGUCCGAAUAUCAGCUGGACAACAAUGUGGUAU